Molecule: long non-coding RNA, 1162 nt
Organism: Vicia villosa (hairy vetch)
Lineage: Eukaryota; Viridiplantae; Streptophyta; Magnoliopsida; Fabales; Fabaceae
Exons: 2
Source: RefSeq, a predicted model, not a curated record
UAACAGAAAGAGAAGGGGAUUUCGCCUCCCUUAACGUUUUUCACUCGUCUCUGAACUCCUCUCUCGAUAUUCUCUCUUAUCUCUCAAUCUCGCAGCUCUCACGGUUCUCUCUCGUCAGUUUCACUCUCGAUUUUCUCGGUGAGCAACAACAACGAAAACACUUUCGGACUCUUUCGGUAACUCUCUCAGCUCGUGAUUCUACUCAUCAAUAAUACUCAGCUCAACAACAGAAGAUAAUCAUAAACCCUAAGACCCAAACAUCCCAAUAUUCCCCAGUUCACUAUGAUUUUGAUAGAUUAGAAGUUACAUGAAGGAAUUUAAACACAGAAAUUUAAACAAUCAGAUGAAAAGAAACGAAGAUCCAGGUAAACCUGCGUUGCUUAUCUUUCUUUGCCCUCGGAUCCGUCUUUGUCUUCUGUGAUUUGAUUCUUGCGAUCUAGGUUGCUGUAGGUUCUGCGUGCGUUUUGUGAGGUUGAGUGAAGAUGGGUUGAGUUAUUGAUGAGGCAGAUUGAUGAACAAAUCGGUGAUGGUUUGGUGAUUUUUGCAGUGAGUAUUUUUUGUGGUUUAGUGAGUAUUUUGAGAGGAAUGAGGCUAGGUUGUGGUAUCCAUGAAGGUGAGUUCGAACUAAGUUUUGCAGAAGGAUUGAGGUCUGUGGUGCUGCUUGUGGCUGUAUCGGAUUAGAGUUAUGUGGGUUUGUGAGGAUCGUUGGUUGGUUUAUGGAGUGGUCGAGUAUGCAAUUGAAGGAAGUUGAAGCUGAAGGUUUUUUAGGAGUGUUGUUGCAGGGAUUUGGCUUAGGUUCUGCAGAGCUUUUUGUAUGGCCUUUUUUAUGCAAGGUUUGGACCAUUACAGCAGCUGUUUUGCAGGUUGAAGCAGGGUGUUUGCAGCAAUGAGGUUAGACAGGUUUAUGGGUAGAGCAAGGUGGUAGUGGCAUGAUACGGACAAGUCUUUGUGCAGAAAAUUGGACUGUUGUGUUUGUUUUUGUGCAGGUUUUUGGAGUGAUUUGUUUGGCAUGAGAAAGAUGCAGAGUUGACAGUGAUAGAGGCAAGAAGCAUGAAGACAAAAAUUCUCAUAUUUUUUGUUUAAUUUCUGUACUAUUUUUGUGUAAAAUGGGCUUCUAACAAAAAUGGGCCUAUACUAAUAAAAUUAAACAAACUCUUAUUUU